RNAcentral lists this ribosomal RNA (465 nucleotides) under uncultured bacterium. RNAcentral's name for it is "partial 16S ribosomal RNA". It matches the Rfam family "Bacterial small subunit ribosomal RNA", at positions 28 to 507 of the family's 1533-position model. The record is from RNAcentral.
GACGAACGCUGGCGGCGUGCUUAACACAUGCAAGUCGAACGGUAAGGCUCCAGCUUGCUGGGGUACACGAGUGGCGAACGGGUGAGUAACACGUGGGUGACCUGCCCUGCACUUCGGGAUAAGCCUGGGAAACUGGGUCUAAUACCGGAUAGGACCGCACCGUGAGGGUGUGGUGGAAAGUUUUUUCGGUGUGGGAUGGGCCCGCGGCCUAUCAGCUUGUUGGUGGGGUAAUGGCCUACCAAGGCGGCGACGGGUAGCCGGCCUGAGAGGGUGGACGGGCACAUUGGGACUGAGACACGGCCCAGACUCCUACGGGAGGCAGCAGUGGGGAAUAUUGCACAAUGGGCGGAAGCCUGAUGCAGCGACGCCGCGUGGGGGAUGACGGCCUUCGGGUUGUAAACUCCUUUCACCAUCGACGAAGGGUUUCUGACGGUAGAUGGAGAAGAAGCACCGGCUAACUACGUG